This 379-nucleotide unclassified non-coding RNA is filed under the name uncultured fungus. RNAcentral describes it as "sequence contains ITS1". The stretch from base 1 to 107 matches the Rfam family "5.8S ribosomal RNA", at positions 50 to 154 of the family's 154-position model. The record is from RNAcentral. Lineage: Eukaryota; Fungi.
GAAAUGCGAUACCUGGUGUGAAUUGCAGAAUCCCGUGAACCAUCGAGUCUUUGAACGCAAGUUGCGCCCGAGGCCUUUGGGUCGAGGGCACGCCUGCCUGGGUGUCACACCUAGCAUCGAACCGCACCAACUGCCCUCUUGGGCAGUGUGCGGCUUUGGAGAUUGGCCUCUUGUGCACUCAAAUGCGGUGGGCUUAAGAGAGGGUUGUCGGCCGGGUCGGCACGACGAGUGGCGGACUUCGUUCCAGCAGGAUGUCGUGUCCCCGGUCUUCGAAGAGCCGAAGACACCCGGAUCGGGCGUGCAUAUGCACUUCCACUCGGGAGGGCGUGUCGCCUCACAACGUGACCCCAGGUCAGGCGGGGACACCCGCUGAGUUUAA